Molecule: long non-coding RNA, 6304 nt
Filed under: Olea europaea subsp. europaea
Lineage: Eukaryota; Viridiplantae; Streptophyta; Magnoliopsida; Lamiales; Oleaceae
Source: RNAcentral
CGGGGUAAGUUUAGAGAUUCUUUUAUUUGUUGCACGUUUUGUUUUACAUGCUGCUAUUAUUCUAUCAGACUUGCAUAAUAAAAAUAAUACAUUUAUGAAUUCUUGAAUAUUCAUAUCCAUUACUAAUUCAUCACAUAUUGCAUUUCCUUUUCCAUUUGCUUGUGUGAAACCCUAGAAUCUUAUCCCAAAUUCACUCUCAAGAUCGAGUCUUUUACACAGAAGGGGUCAAGAUUAUCACUCAAUUCAAUCUCAGAGGUUAGUUUCAGUUUUCAAUUUCUGGGAUACGUUUUUCGAUUGGAAUUCUGUGAUGCUGGGAUUUUUUGUAAGUGGGAUUCGUUUUGGACCAUCGUAUGUUUUUAUCGGCUAGGGAGUUACUGUACCUGGGUUUCUGUUUGAUUAAUAUAAAUUUUGAUUUAUUUUAUUUUCACUUCAUGAACUUUAAUUAGGAAUUUUUGUAUCUUAUGUGAUGUUUAGGUUUGGCUAUUGAAUUGUGGUUGCCUAAUGUGAAAACAUGGUUUUUCUUAUGACGCAGAUCAUUUGAACAAUUCCCAUUUGAAGAUAACAAGCAAAUUCUGGGUUUUGGGGUUUCGUGUUGAGAUUUUGAGGGAGUGUUUAAUUUCGGGAGGAGGAAUAGAAGAGAAGUUUUGGCAAAAUGAUGUCAAGAUCUUAUACCAAUCUUCUGGAUUUGGCGUCUGGGAAUUUCCCUGUAAUGGGCAAGGAGAAGGAGCGAAAGCGGUUCCCUAGGGUAAUGACAGUCCCUGGGAGUAUACUCGAGCUAGAUGAUGACCAGACUAAUAGUGUUACAUCAGAAAACCCAUCUUCAGUUUCUGGUGAAAGAAUGAUUAUUGUAGCAAAUCUUUUGCCCUUGAAAGCAAAGCGAAGGCCAGACAAUAAAGGGUGGAAUUUUAGUUGGAAUGAGGAUUCAUUGCUUUUGCGGGUUAAGGAUGGCUUUCCGGAAGACAUGGAGGUGCUGUAUGUUGGGUCAUUACCUGUUGAUGUCGAUCCAAUUGAACAGGAUGACGUAGCCAAUUAUAUUUUGGAAAAAUUCAAGUGCGUCCCUGCCUUUCUUCCACCUAAUCUUCUGGGAAAAUAUUACGAUGGCUUUUGCAAGAAGCAGUUGUGGCCACUUUUCCACUACAUGUUGCCGUUUUCAGCUAAUCAUGGAAGUCGGUUUGAUCGUUCAAUGUGGGAAGCCUAUGUGUCCGUAAAUAGGCUGUUUUCUCAGAAAGUGGUCGAGGUGCUAAAUCCUGAGGAUGAUUUUGUUUGGAUUCACGACUAUCAUUUGAUGGUGCUCCCCACAUUUUUGAGGAGGCGGUUUGUCCGAUUGAGAAUGGGUUUUUUCCUUCACAGUCCUUUUCCAUCAUCUGAGAUAUACAGGACACUUCCUGUUAGAGAAGAAAUCCUUAGGGCCCUACUCAACUCUGACCUUAUUGGCUUUCAUACCUUUGAUUAUGCUCGGCAUUUCCUAUCCUGUUGCAGUCGGAUGUUGGGCUUGGAAUAUCAAUCAAAAAGGGGUUAUAUAGGACUAGAUUACUAUGGAAGGACAGUUGGAAUAAAGAUUAUGCCAGUUGGGAUACAUAUGGGCCAUAUUGAAUCAGCAAUGGAACUUGCAGAUAAAGAGCAGAAGUUCGAGCAGCUGCAGCAACAGUUUGAAGGUAAAACGGUUUUACUUGGAGUUGAUGACAUGGACAUUUUCAAAGGUAUCAAUUUGAAGCUUUUAGCUAUGGAGCACAUGCUCAAGCAGCAUCCAAAUUGGCAAGGAAGGGUAAUACUGGUGCAGAUUUGCAAUCCUGCUAGAGGGAAAGGAAGACAUUUGGAGGAAUUAAAAGUUGAAAUAGAGGAGAGCUGCCAGAGAAUCAAUAAGGAAUUUGGGAAGCCUGGAUAUGAGCCUAUAGUUUUUAUUCAUAGACCUGUAUCAAUAAGUGAAAGAAUGGCAUAUUACAGUAUUGCCGAAUGUGUUGUGGUUACAGCUGUGAGGGAUGGGAUGAAUCUGACUCCUUAUGAAUACACUGUCUGCAGACAAGGAGUAUCAGGUGCAGAAACUGGUUCAAAUCUGAGUGGACCCAAGAAAAGCAUGCUAGUUGUAUCCGAAUUUAUUGGGUGUUCUCCUUCCCUCAGUGGUGCAAUUCGUGUUAAUCCGUGGAAUUUUGAAACAACUGCUGAGGCAAUUAACGAGGCGAUAUCAAUGGCUGAAUCAGAAAAAGAGUUGCGGCACGAGAAGCAUUAUCGUUAUCUUAGAACCCACGACGUAGCUUUUUGGUCAAGGAGCUUCUUGCAAGAUAUGGAGAGAACUUGUGCAGACCAUUUCAGUAAAAGAUGCUGGGGGAUUGGUCUAGGCUUUGGGUUCCGAGUGGUGGCUUUAGAUCCUAAUUUUAGAAAGCUAUCUGUAGAUGAUAUCGUGGCAGCUUACCGUAGUGCUAAAAGCAGGGCUAUAUUUUUGGAUUAUGAUGGCACAUUGAUGCCUCCAACUUCUAUUAUCAAGACUCCAAGUUCACAAAUUCUCUCUAUCUUGAACAGACUUUGUGGAGAUCCAAAUAAUACUGUUUUCAUGGUGAGUGGAAGAGGGAGGGAAAGCUUGAGCAGGUGGUUUUCACCUUGCAAGAAGCUGGGACUUGCCGCGGAACAUGGGUACUUUUUGAGGUAAUGUUUCUUUACCCUUCCCGGUCAUCAGUCAAUUAUUGUUUACUUUAUCUCAAUGUUGGCUCAGUAAUUUCCAUAUAAAGAAAGACACAUGACACAAAAGGCACACUGACAUGUUGUUGUUCAAAAAGUAGGACCUCUAGCCAUUGAAAUUUGGAUUAGAGGAGUGUCUAUUUGUUGCAUUAAGAUAACUUUUGGGUUAAACUAAGAUAACUUUUGUAUGUCCUUGAUGUUCCUCGUGUGUUUGAACUGCAAAGAAUAUGAACAGUAUGUCCCCCCAUAUGGGGUUCCAAACAUUUUCCUGAUGUGUGUCUGGGAAGUGUCCGUCAAGUAUUGGAUACUUAGAAAAUAUAUAUAAGAAUAGAACACACCACAUGGAGUGUUGGACACAUGGAGUGUUUAAGACAUGCCACCUCAUUAGGAUGGUUCGUCCUUCCUAGGUGCUAUAUUUCGAAUAUCUAGUUAACAAGUUGCUUCUGAUUGUGACAUUGAUGUGGUAUAAGAUGAGUUAUUAUGAGCAUGAUGCCAGAAUGGUUUUGCUUGAAUUAAAUGAUAAACUUCAAUCUGUAAAUACUAUCUAAUGUACCUCAGGGGACUUCUAUGAUAAAAUUCUAAUUAUCUGUUUCAGUGUAGUUCAACUGUGAUGUACUCUUUAGAAAACAUUGCUAAAGGAAAAACUGGCCUUCAAGCUUUUCAUAUCUUCUUAAAAUAUUGUCUUGAAACAUUGCACAAAUGAGGCCGAUCUUUGUAACUGUGACUUCAGUUGGGCAUACUAAAGUGCUGUUCUUGUAACUUAGGAUACCUUCAGCUCUAUGCUUUACUAUAUGAGUAUCUCCUAUCCUAUUUAAUAUGUGGUGAGAAUGAAAGUGCUUCGAGGCAUUAUUAGUAUGUAUGGUGAUAAUAUCCUUUAAUAUGUGGUGAUGACAUCCUAUUUUUAAUAUAUGGUGUUAUAAUCCUCAGUAUAUACUCCUGGUGGAUUAAGGUGCAUUUUGAGGCGGGGGCUAGGCUUUUUAUCAUUUUGGAGCUGCUUAGUGUCGAUGCUCCUAUAACUUUUUCUACUCUGGAUGUUGUUUUUCUUGUAUUUCUAAAAAUGUCAUGUUUUCAAUGAAAAAUCUAGUCAAACGUGGGAAAGGCUCUGCUCUUUAUUUUUUGGAUCAAUUUUUGCUCUUGUUGUUAUAUUUUUUUGAAGGAAAUAUGGAUAAAUGGCCGAUGACCCGUUUAAUUUAUGCAAGACCAAAAUUUAUCUAAAAAAUAAGACAGAAUUUAUAAACUCACACAAGACUUCUCUCCUCUCUCCACCAUUUGGAAAUCAUCCAAAACUCUGCAUAAUCAUUGAUCUUCUCCACAAUGAAGAAAAUUUUAAAAAUUACAUUUUUCGUGGUCAGAAAUCUUCCUUUUUCAGAUUCAUAUAAUAUUUUGUUUGUUUCAACUUCAUUUUUAUUUAUAAAUAGUACGAGCUAAGCAAGACAAUUACUCGAGGAAAGCUGAAAAAAGCAAGCGAGUAGCCAUUAAGGAAAGUGUAUUGGAUAUUUGGUUUGAACCAGUUGUCCCACCCUUUAUAGCCUGUACUGGUUAGCACCUUCUGAUUUUACUCUAUCUAGUCCUUCGGACUUUGCAUCUCAGCACAAGCUAUGCCAACACCAAAAUUUUCCCACACCCUUUAAUUAGGGUGAUCUCGUAGUUCUUGGUCGGGGAAGAUACAUUGUUAGGUGUUCCAUUUUCUUUUCCCAUUGAGGCCGACAAUCCGUCGUUAACAGACUACAGCCUGUUAAACCGACUUCGUUAACAUACUGCAGUCUGCUUAACAGACUUAUCUCUAUGAAGUUUGAUAAACAAACAUACUCCACGAAAUAGGAGGGUAAUUUAGACUUUUUAAAAUAUAAGAGGCCUUUUACACUUAAAAUGUGUGAGGCAUUUAGUAAUUUGGCCCCUUCACUAGGUCUCUGUCAUACCCUACUCCCCAACCCCGAGUUGUGUUGUAAAUAUUUGCUGUAUUAUAAUCAUAGAAUUUCACAGGUGGCCACAACAUGAAGAUUGGGAAACAUACGGCCAGAGUUCUGAAUUUGGAUGGAUGCAACUCGCUGAACCUGUUAUGAAAUCAUAUACUGAGGCUACUGAUGGUUCUGAAAUAGAACGAAAGGAAAGUGCUUUAGUCUGGCAUUAUCAGGAUGCAGAUUCCGGGUUUGGUUUUGCUCAGGCAAAAGAGAUUUUGGAUCAUCUAGAGAGCGUUUUAGCAAAUGAACCUGUUGCAGUGAAGAGCGGGCAAUUCAUUGUAGAAGUCAAGCCUCAGGCACGUUUCAUAAUCUCUAUUUGCAUGUCAGCUAUAUAUUUCUACUGCUGUAGUUGGCAUAUAUUCUUUCUCUUGCACUUGAUAAUUCCCCAUACCAUGAAUUGUUUGCUUCAUGUUUCCUUAGAUGGUUGCCGUUGCAUUUCCUUCGUCAAUUGUUUGCUUCGUGUUGUAUUAAUUUUCAAAAUCUCGACAAUUGAAAGCUUUUUCUUUUUCCAGUUUUUAGUUAUACCCUGGGGUUUUAGCAGUUAGUUUUUUUUUUUUUUUUUUCUUUUGUUGGUCAUAUUAUACACAAAUAUUGAUUUUGAUUGCCUGGCAACUCCAUUAACAAAAUGAAGUCUUCCAUUUCUUAUUUCCUUCCAGGGUGUUAGCAAAGGAAUAGUUGCAGAAAAAAUCUUCUCAUCAAUGGCAGAGAAGGGGAAACAGGCUGAUUUCGUGCUGUGCAUUGGGGAUGACAGAUCUGAUGAGGAUAUGUUUGAAAUAAUUGGUUCUGCAGUGUCAAGACGAAGUCUUCCCUACAACACACAAGUAUUUGCUUGUACAGUAGGUCAGAAACCCAGCAAAGCCAAAUAUUAUUUGGACGAUACAUCUGAGGUGGUAAGCAUGCUUGAAUAUGUUGCUGAAGCUUCUGGUUCUCCAGUCUCAUCUGACAAUGAAUCUGAUAUCACCGUCUAAAAAUUUAGUCGGGUUUCUUUGUUUUGUUUGGAUUUGUUUCAUUCUUUGUUGAAAUGGGAUGAUGGAAUACAUGCUUACUUGGGGUGUUAGAAUAUAGGUUCGAGGGGAAUGAAGACACCUGCUUUCUCUUUUCUUUCUUGUUAUCUCUCAUUUUUUAUUCUUUAACCCUGUCCCGAAUAGACUUUGUAUCGGUCUUGUUAAUUGCGUCAGUUUGGAUGAACUGGAAACAGAAUUUUCGUACGAAACGAGAACUCAUCAAGAUUCAAAUGCUAUUUAUGGCGGGGCUCUAGCCUGAGUCAUUGCACAACUUACUUAGUCUUGCCGGAAUCAAGAAGAGUAAUAUAUUUUUUUGGGACAUGAUAGGAUUGUGCUUGGUUUACUACAUAAGGGUGUUCGCACCCCCCUCACAUGGUAGGUGGGACCCGCCUCAUCACUCUCAUGUACACAUUUUAUGUAUAUCAAGACUUGUCCAAUUUCAACUGCUUGAAAUUUUCUCAUGCCGUUACACGGAACAAAGAAGUUAUAGGGUCCACGGUACUUGAAAUGGCCAAAGAACUAAAAAUGUGCCGAAUCCAACUCUUACAUUGCAUCUUCAAUUUUGUACAGUUCAGCAUAUCAAUCAUAUUCGUGUUCCAUGUUUAGACGAUAAAAUGGGCGAAGUACUUGAAAGAAUGAGUUUUCCCUCAACUGCUUCUAAGUAGA